UGCUUACACUUGAUCUCUGAACUUCAGGUAAAGUUUGCCUGUUGAUAAGUAUAUGUCCUUAUGCA
Molecule: small nucleolar RNA, 65 nt
Organism: Hibiscus syriacus
Lineage: Eukaryota; Viridiplantae; Streptophyta; Magnoliopsida; Malvales; Malvaceae
Product: small nucleolar RNA snoR101
Exons: 1
Source: RefSeq, a predicted model, not a curated record